GGGUGUGAGAGCAGUCUGACUGCAAAAUCUGCCACCAGUGUAGACUGGCUGAUCUGGCUGGCUGAGCGGCGUGCCCUCCCUCCCUCCCGCAGCGUGUGUGUCCUCCCGGAGCUGUGCCCUAGCCUAACAGGCACCUCCCACAGAGAGGAGGACCCUUCCGGUCCAGGCAGCAUGGGCAACUGCAUUCUCCUGCCAGAGCCGCCAAACAAGCUCUCAAAAAAUUGCCUCUGAGCCCCAUGUGGUGGCGCACACCUGUAAUCCCAGCACUCGGGAGGCUGAGGCAGGUGGACUGCCAUGGGUU
Molecule: small nuclear RNA, 301 nt
Filed under: Chinchilla lanigera (long-tailed chinchilla)
Lineage: Eukaryota; Metazoa; Chordata; Mammalia; Rodentia; Chinchillidae
Description: 7SK RNA (ENSCLAG00000022107.1)
Rfam family: 7SK RNA
About the family: 7SK was discovered as an abundant small nuclear RNA in the mid-70s but a possible function has only recently been suggested. Two independent studies have found that 7SK RNA binds the CDK9/cyclin T complex (known as elongation factor P-TEFb).
Source: Rfam by way of RNAcentral